This 1164-nucleotide long non-coding RNA is filed under the name Dicentrarchus labrax (European seabass). Its description in RNAcentral is "lncRNA (ENSDLAG00005031300.1)". Lineage: Eukaryota; Metazoa; Chordata; Actinopteri; Moronidae. The record is from RNAcentral.
CAUAAUCCCUACACUCUGAAAGUUUUUACAGCAGGUGUUGUUAAACUCACUGCUCAGUCUAACGAAUCUGGUAGCCCUGUGGAUGAUAAUCCGUCAUCUUCUGCUGACAUAGAUUUCUAUACUCUGUCAGAUGCAGAUAGUGAUGUUGAUACUUCUGAGGACCUUCCAAAAGUAGUAGAACAAAAAAUAGCUUUAAUUUUAUUGAAGUUAGAAAACAUUUAUCAUGUUCUAUCUACAGCAAUAGAUGGAUUACUUGAUGAACUACACUACCUGUUAAGUACUGUGUCUGCGCCUGUAACUUGUAACAGUCUUUCUGAAUUCUUCAAAAACAAAAACCUAGAAGUUGAUAGCUUAAUUCUCAAGGAACUAGCUGAUGUACUUUGUAAAUCUAACCCUUUGGUUAAGGUAAUAGGGAAAGGUGGCUCCCUUGCUACAGCUUUUAAGAGGAAGGAGUACUUCAAGGAAUUGUUUAAUGUUGUUGAGCCAGUGGAGUUCAUUCUUGAUCAAAAACAGGGCAGGACAUUUCAAUACAUUCCAUUGUUGCAGUCUUUGCAGCAGUUAUUUGGUUGUACUGAAGUGUUUAAUAGUGUCAUCAAUAGCCACAAAUUACAGGGAAGUAAUACACAGCAGCAAGGGAACCAGCAGUAUAGCUCUAUAAGAGACGAUGUGUACUCUUUCUUGUCAGGUGAUGAGUUGAAAAUUUGUUUAACCUUAUACGUAGAUGAUUUUGAACUAUGUAAUCCCCUGGGCACAUCGCGAAAGAAACACAAAUUAUGUAGUGUAUACUGGAUUCUGAGUAACUUGCCACCAGGCUCUCAUUCAGCACUCUCUUCAGUUUAUCUGACAGUUUUGUGCAAGAGUGAUGAUGUAAAGGUAUAUGGCUAUGGUAAAAUAUUAGAGCUAGUUUUGCAAGACCUUUUUACUUUAGAAGAGCAUGGUGUGUUCAUCUCAAAGCUUGGAAAGUGUGUUAAAGGAACAGAACACAGUGUUAUAGCUGACAAUUUGGGAGCCCACUCACUGGCUGGUUUUGUUGAGCGCUUUUCCACACAUUAUAUUUGUAGAUUUUGUACUGCUGCUAAAUUAGAUAUUCCAAGAAAGGAUGUUCAGUCAGGUGCAUACCAAAGAAACAUACAAAGCACAUGUAAAGUCUGCACAGGAAACUGA